AGCAGCCGCGGUAAUUCCAGCUCCAAUAGCGUAUAUUAAAGUUGUUGCAGUUAAAAAGCUCGUAGUUGAAUUUCGGGAUCAGUACGCCGGUCGUGCCUUCGGUAUGCACUGGUGUCACUGGUUUCUCCCUUCUGAAGAACCAUCAUGCCAUUAAGUUGGUGUGGCGGGAAAUCAGGACUGUUACUUUGAAAAAAUUAGAGUGUUUAAAGCAGGCUCGCGCUUGAAUACAUUAGCAUGGAAUAAUGAAAUAGGACGUUUGACCCUAUUUUGUUGGUUUCUAGGAUCGACGUAAUGAUUAAUAGGGAUAGUUGGGGGCAUUAGUAUUCAAUUGUCAGAGGUGAAAUUCUUGGAUUUAUUGAAGACUAACUACUGCGAAAGCAUUUGCCAAGGAUGUUUUCAUUAAUCAAGAACGAAAGUUAGGGGAUCGAAGACGAUCAGAUACCGUCGUAGUCUUAACCAUAAACUAUGCCGACUAGGGAUCGGAUGAUGUUAAUUUUUUUAAUGACUC
RNAcentral lists this ribosomal RNA (508 nucleotides) under uncultured Glomus. RNAcentral's name for it is "SSU rRNA". It matches the Rfam family "Eukaryotic small subunit ribosomal RNA", at positions 569 to 1077 of the family's 1831-position model. Lineage: Eukaryota; Fungi; Glomeromycota; Glomeromycetes; Glomerales; Glomeraceae. The record is from RNAcentral.